RNAcentral lists this ribosomal RNA (501 nucleotides) under uncultured bacterium. Its description in RNAcentral is "bacterial SSU rRNA". It matches the Rfam family "Bacterial small subunit ribosomal RNA", at positions 8 to 507 of the family's 1533-position model. The record is from RNAcentral.
AGAGUUUGAUCAUGGCUCAGAUUGAACGCUGGCGGAAUGCUUUACACAUGCAAGUCGAACGGCAGCACGGGGCAACCUGGUGGCGAGUGGCGAACGGGUGAGUAAUACAUCGGGACGUGCCCAAUCGUGGGGAUAACGUAGCGAAAGUUACGCUAAUACCGCAUACGAUCUACGGAUGAAAGCGGGGGAUCGCAAGACCUCGCGCGAGUGGAGCGGCCGAUGUCAGAUUAGGUAGUUGGUGGGGUAAAGGCUCACCAAGCCAACGAUCUGUAGCUGGUCUGAGAGGACGACCAGCCACACUGGAACUGAGACACGGUCCAGACUCCUACGGGAGGCAGCAGUGGGGAAUUUUGGACAAUGGGCGCAAGCCUGAUCCAGCCAUUCCGCGUGCAGGAUGAAGGCCUUCGGGUUGUAAACUGCUUUUGUACGGAACGAAACGGCGAGCUCUAAUACAGUUUGCUAAUGACGGUACCGUAAGAAUAAGCACCGGCUGACUACGUG